AUAAGGUCUCACAUCCAGAUCGUGGCGCAGUUCACUUCACAAGUCUCCGUGUCUCCAGGAUCUCUGCUCCGUCUGACUGGUCCACAGGAAGAAAUAUGUCUGGUGUGGAUGAAGAGGAGGACAGAUCAGGUGUGGACAGGUUGUCUCUGAAGAGUAAUCGGUCCAAAGGUCGUCCCCCAGCCUUAAGUGUUGAACCUGGACCUUCAGACACAAAGCAUCAGCACCUCAGACACACAGCAGAGUCUUCAGGUUCCAGCAGGUUGUCUCUGAACAGUGACUGGUCCAAAGGUCUUCCACUAAACUUCAGUGUUGACCCUGGACCUUUAGACGCAAAGCAUCAGCACCUCAGACACACAGCAGAGUCUUCAGGUUCCAGCAGGUUGUCUCUGAACAGUGACUGGUCCAAAGGUCUUCCACUAAACUUCAGUGUUGACCCUGGACCUUUAGACGCAAAAGAGAAGAGGACUGAUGUCUGUGAGGAGCAGCCAGAAAGAUCCAGAAGUAAGAGUGG
Long non-coding RNA from Salarias fasciatus (jewelled blenny), 511 nucleotides. RefSeq lists it as uncharacterized. Lineage: Eukaryota; Metazoa; Chordata; Actinopteri; Blenniiformes; Blenniidae. The record is from RefSeq and is a predicted model, not a curated record. The transcript is spliced from 6 exons.